AGAAGAAGAAGAAGAAGAAAAAACGUAGUGACAAAUUGUUUUUCUUUUUCUCCUUCUUCAAUAUGAUUCAUCUUCAAUUUCAUUACUCUUGGUUUAAUUUUUGCUUUUAUUUAUUAUCUUUCAUUGUUUUCUUCUGCUUAAUUUGAUGAUAGGGUUGUGGUGGCGGUGGAAGAUGAAGAGAGCCGAGGCUGAAAUUACGUGGGAAAUCGAAGCAUGUUUGGUGUUUGUGAUUAGAAUACUGUUAAAGCAGAUGGAUCUUAUUUUGGGCUUAUUUGAGAGGUGGUGGACUGGCUCGAGCAACUCCAUUUCUGUUGUCCAAUCCUUGCAGAAAAAAGCUUUCUUCUUCUUUCUCUUCUGCUUCCUUGGCUUCUGGUAAUGAUUUUGUUGGUUGGUUGGUUGGUUGGUGGUGGCGGUGGUGGUGAUAUUGGCUGGACGGCUCAAUCUCUUCAUUGUUAUGGCAUAGAACUAAAAAGUCUUUCUUUUUCUUUCUGGGUUUCACUUUGUAACCUAGUCUUAUAAUGCUGAUAUGCAACAACAGGUUUAACUUAAUUUCUUGCUCUUUCUUGUUUUGGUUUUGUGAAUUUUCUUGCAUUUUCCAGGAAACCAAACAAUAAAUCUCCAUUAUAGCAGAAGAAGCAAGCAACCUAACCAUCUCCUUAAAGAAGGUAAAGGUUGGGGGGGUAAAGCUUUUAAUUUUGGGGUCCCCUAAAAGAUGCAGACUUCCAUGUUUCAAAACACUGUUUCAUUAUCGAUUCAAUUCAAAAUCACUGUCAGUAGUCUUUUGCUUCGGUCCCUAUUGUUAAUUUAUUGUUUUUUCCUUGGGAAAUGUAGAGGUGAGCUUUGAUGUUAUAAGUUCAAUCCUCUUUAGUUAUUGUUUUGUCAUCUUCAUCAACUUGUACAUUUUACUUUAAGAAAUUUAUAUUUAUAUUAUGAAUUGGGG
RNAcentral lists this unclassified non-coding RNA (940 nucleotides) under Hevea brasiliensis (rubber tree). The record is from RNAcentral. Lineage: Eukaryota; Viridiplantae; Streptophyta; Magnoliopsida; Malpighiales; Euphorbiaceae.